AGGAAAAGAAACGGCUAAGUUGAAUCUUAUCCGAUGAGGUGAAGUCUAAUGAGGCUGACUAAUGUAUGCUUACGGUCGAAGUCAAAACUCGAUAUGCUCAAAUAUUCUACCAUCUAUCGUCUGUGUUACAGACCAGUAACCAUAGAGAAGGGAGUAAAUAAUUUGAUGCCGAAGUCAUACAUAGCCGAUCCUAAAAAUUUCGCUCA
This 206-nucleotide long non-coding RNA is filed under the name Elaeis guineensis (African oil palm). RNAcentral's name for it is "long non-coding RNA (EGUI_LNC044496)". Lineage: Eukaryota; Viridiplantae; Streptophyta; Magnoliopsida; Arecales; Arecaceae. The record is from RNAcentral.